UCCCUGAUGGUCUAGUGGUCAGGAUUUGGCGCUUUCACUGCCAUGGCCCGGGUUCGAUUCCCGGCCUUCUUCCAGAAA
This is a non-coding RNA of Danionella cerebrum, 78 nucleotides long. Lineage: Eukaryota; Metazoa; Chordata; Actinopteri; Cypriniformes; Danionidae. The record is from the annotation of a GenBank genome assembly.